UAGAACUAAGAGACUAAACAGUCAAAUGAUAGAGUAACGUCUUGAAGGGCUGUCAUUAAUGCUCCGAAUUGCAUUAAGUAUAUUAAGAUACUUAAUGUAAUAAGCUCGGUGAAGUCAAGGGAAAGUUACCGUAAUUAUACGAAAGCUACCUCAGUCAGGUGGUGUAACUGAUACCUUGGAUGCCUUUAAA
This is a non-coding RNA of Halobacteroides halobius DSM 5150, 190 nucleotides long. Lineage: Bacteria; Bacillati; Bacillota; Clostridia; Halanaerobiales; Halobacteroidaceae. The record is from Rfam.